Molecule: long non-coding RNA, 487 nt
Organism: Juglans microcarpa x Juglans regia
Lineage: Eukaryota; Viridiplantae; Streptophyta; Magnoliopsida; Fagales; Juglandaceae
Exons: 2
Source: RefSeq, a predicted model, not a curated record
UUGGGCCAAGUAUAUAUUGUCGAUUAUGAAGCCCAAUAGUACAGGAAAUCUAUGGGCCUACUCAACCCAAUGUUCUCAGCCUGAAUCUCACUGCCUAUACAAUGUAUACAUUAGGGUUUCUUCUUCAAUUGCUAUAAGUUCUCGCAAAGCCUCCAAAUCAUUCUCUGCGCAGCCUACUCCGGACUACUAGGGUUUCGAAAGCGAGGGUGAGAAGGAACUUAGACACGGAAUCACCAUGAGGGCCAAGUGGAAGAAGAAGCGCAUGAGGAGGUUGAAGAGGAAGCGCCGAAAGAUGAGGCAGAGAUCCAAGUAGUUCUCUUACCAAUAAAUCGACGUUGUUUUGUGUCUAAUCGGUUUCCGAUUAGAGAGUGGUAGUGUUUUCCAUUUUUACGUUUGGAUUUAAUAUCUGAAAGGUUGGAGUUUUGUGCUGUUGAAUGGGAUUUUGGUACUUCUUAAUGCUACGGUUACGGUAAUUUGUGUUGGAUUU